GUGUGAUACACAGGGUGAUCGCCGGCGAUUAUCCACGAAGACUUCCAGUAAAAAUUCCAUCGCGGACUUGUUGUUCGGUCGUCGCAGAACCGCGGUAUCAUAUUAUUUGCAGUAAUUUCGCUAUAACUUCGCCCCCGGUCCGUUAAACACGCGGACGCAUAUUAAAUAUACAUACGUAAACAUACAUCUGCAAUCGUUAUCGAUUUCGAAACAACAAUAACCCACUUGUUUUACAGACACCGACUCGGAAAGAGUGCACGCAAAUGGACACGAUUGUACAUCGCACUAUCACCGUUUUACUAAUAAUGCGCAUUGCACUCCUCCGGAAAAUGUCGUCAUGACUCAUACACGCAAUGCCCGGUAUGGCUGUUGUCGUAAU
Non-coding RNA from Cinara cedri, 379 nucleotides. Lineage: Eukaryota; Metazoa; Arthropoda; Insecta; Hemiptera; Aphididae. The record is from the annotation of a GenBank genome assembly.